UCCUCGUUAGUAUAGUGGUGAGUAUCCCGCCUGUCACGUGAGAGACCGGGGGUUCGAUUCCCCCGACGGGGAG
Megalops atlanticus (tarpon) is the source of this 73-nucleotide non-coding RNA. The record is from the annotation of a GenBank genome assembly. Lineage: Eukaryota; Metazoa; Chordata; Actinopteri; Elopiformes; Megalopidae.